GUGCUCGCUUCGGCAGCACAUAUACGAAAAAUUGGAACGAUACAGAGAAGAUUAGCAUGGCCCAUGCGCAAGGAUGACAUGCAAAUGUGUGAAGUGUUUUU
This is a small nuclear RNA of Myotis lucifugus (little brown bat), 101 nucleotides long. The record is from Ensembl. Lineage: Eukaryota; Metazoa; Chordata; Mammalia; Chiroptera; Vespertilionidae.